AGAGUUUGAUCCUGGCUCAGAUUGAACGCUGGCGGCAGGCCUAACACAUGCAAGUCGAGCGGUAGAGAGAAGCUUGCUUCUCUUGAGAGCGGCGGACGGGUGAGUAAUGCCUAGGAAUCUGCCUGGUAGUGGGGGAUAACGUUCGGAAACGGACGCUAAUACCGCAUACGUCCUACGGGAGAAAGCAGGGGACCUUCGGGCCUUGCGCUAUCAGAUGAGCCUAGGUCGGAUUAGCUAGUUGGUGAGGUAAUGGCUCACCAAGGCGACGAUCCGUAACUGGUCUGAGAGGAUGAUCAGUCACACUGGAACUGAGACACGGUCCAGACUCCUACGGGAGGCAGCAGUGGGGAAUAUUGGACAAUGGGCGAAAGCCUGAUCCAGCCAUGCCGCGUGUGUGAAGAAGGUCUUCGGAUUGUAAAGCACUUUAAGUUGGGAGGAAGGGCAGUAAAUUAAUACUUUGCUGUUUUGACGUUACCGACAGAAUAAGCACCGGCUAACUCUGUGCCAGCAGCCGCGGUAAUACAGAGGGUGCAAGCGUUAAUCGGAAUUACUGGGCGUAAAGCGCGCGUAGGUGGUUUGUUAAGUUGGAUGUGAAAUCCCCGGGCUCAACCUGGGAACUGCAUUCAAAACUGACUGACUAGAGUAUGGUAGAGGGUGGUGGAAUUUCCUGUGUAGCGGUGAAAUGCGUAGAUAUAGGAAGGAACACCAGUGGCGAAGGCGACCACCUGGACUAAUACUGACACUGAGGUGCGAAAGCGUGGGGAGCAAACAGGGUUAGAUACCCUGGUAGUCCACGCCGUAAACGAUGUCAACUAGCCGUUGGAAGCCUUGAGCUUUUAGUGGCGCAGCUAACGCAUUAAGUUGACCGCCUGGGGAGUACGGCCGCAAGGUUAAAACUCAAAUGAAUUGACGGGGGCCCGCACAAGCGGUGGAGCAUGUGGUUUAAUUCGAAGCAACGCGAAGAACCUUACCAGGCCUUGACAUCCAAUGAACUUUCUAGAGAUAGAUUGGUGCCUUCGGGAACAUUGAGACAGGUGCUGCAUGGCUGUCGUCAGCUCGUGUCGUGAGAUGUUGGGUUAAGUCCCGUAACGAGCGCAACCCUUGUCCUUAGUUACCAGCACGUAAUGGUGGGCACUCUAAGGAGACUGCCGGUGACAAACCGGAGGAAGGUGGGGAUGACGUCAAGUCAUCAUGGCCCUUACGGCCUGGGCUACACACGUGCUACAAUGGUCGGUACAGAGGGUUGCCAAGCCGCGAGGUGGAGCUAAUCCCACAAAACCGAUCGUAGUCCGGAUCGCAGUCUGCAACUCGACUGCGUGAAGUCGGAAUCGCUAGUAAUCGAGAAUCAGAAUGUCGCGGUGAAUACGUUCCCGGGCCCCUCAAACGCCGCCCGUCAA
This 1397-nucleotide ribosomal RNA is filed under the name uncultured bacterium. Its description in RNAcentral is "bacterial SSU rRNA". It matches the Rfam family "Bacterial small subunit ribosomal RNA". The record is from RNAcentral.